AGAUUGAACGCUGGCGGCAGGCCUAACACAUGCAAGUCGAGCGGUAGAGAGGUGCUUGCACCUCUUGAGAGCGGCGGACGGGUGAGUAAUGCCUAGGAAUCUGCCUAGUGGUGGGGGAUAACGUUCGGAAACGGACGCUAAUACCGCAUACGUCCUACGGGAGAAAGCGGGGGACCUUCGGGCCUCGCGCCAUUAGAUGAGCCUAGGUCGGAUUAGCUAGUUGGUGAGGUAAUGGCUCACCAAGGCGACGAUCCGUAACUGGUCUGAGAGGAUGAUCAGUCACACUGGAACUGAGACACGGUCCAGACUCCGUACGGGAGCAGCAGGUGGGAAUAGUUGACAAGUGGGACGAAAGCCUAGAUCCGAGCCAUGCCGCGGUGUGUGGAAGUAAGGUCUUCGGAUUAGUAAA
This 409-nucleotide ribosomal RNA is filed under the name uncultured soil bacterium. Its description in RNAcentral is "bacterial SSU rRNA". It matches the Rfam family "Bacterial small subunit ribosomal RNA", at positions 26 to 429 of the family's 1533-position model. The record is from RNAcentral.